UUCACUUCACAAUGUGUUAACAUAUUGAACGCCACGUGAGUUACAUUUAACUCGCACCGUGUUUGGCCAAGAGGCUGUAUGAGUUGAGUGUAAGUCCAACCCUGGUCUAUGAACACCACGAUCUGCGAGUUGGAUACGCCUGACAUCUAUGAACCGUAUAAUACAGAAAGCAAAGCUCAUACGUGUUAGUCUGACGAUAUAAACCUUUCGACUGAAUUUUGUUUCACUCUCCACGCGGUCAGUUAUGGCGUCCCCUGUUCUCUCCGUACAUUGCAUAGGAGGUUGUAAUGCGACGAUGGUGAUUCGAGGUAUCUUUGAAAUGUGAGCCAACUCUGACGAUGCAAAAAACGUUGGUUAACUGCAGUUGUGGCGCAGACACCGGUUAUAUGGUCUGGACAUCCCGUUUGUUUUGUGUAACUCACGGAUGCAAAUGAAGAAGAAGAAAAAAAUAAAAUGAAAUGAUUUAUAUUCAAAUAUUCUGGAAAAUUUAGAUUCUGAGGAUCUAAUGGAUAUUCAAGAGAAACCAAGGAUAGAAAUAUGUGCGUUCUACCUUGGCGUUCGAUAUGUUAAAAGCUACCGUCGUAAGGGGCACGUUUAUGCUGUCAUUGGUGAGACUCUAGGUUGAUGUAUUUUUGUUAUUUCAGUAAUUGAUAGAGUCACACAAAUGAAAUUACACAUUUUAUUAUUAUUCGGCAUCAGGAAAAACAUUGAAAAGUUGCAGAUUGUGAUAACAACAAAUAACAUCGCAAUGGUGUUGUUAGGGGAGUAUGACAUUGUGUUGAAACACAAUUUGCGUGAAGUGAAAUUUUGUUCAUAAUAUUCUUUAACGAUUAAUAAAUGAUAUGAUAAUGAUGAUAUCAUAGGGGCUAGAAAAUGAUAUAAAUUUGUAGAGAAACAACUUUUCGGGAAGUUAAUUUUCUGCGAAAAUUUGGUAUUGUAAUUGUUUUAACCUGUGGUAACAAUGUUUCUCUACUUUUUAUUGCAACUCAGUUCUUUUGCCAAGUGCUCAAAUGUCCAACGUCCUACGAUAGACACAUAACUCUCUCGCUAAUCUGCCUUCUAACACGCUAUUCAUAUUCUCCUACCAUUUGUCAUUUCCUAUCGUGUUCCACACCCAAAUCUCUGUCCCCUAAUAAGCUAUUCAUAUUCUCCUUCCAUUUGUCAUUUCCUAUCAUGUUCCGCACCUAAAUCCUGCCCCCACAUCCUCUUUGCACACUUUUCACCCCUGCAUUCCAUUGCAGACCCAACACAUGAUAUAACUUAAACGUGACAUUUCAAAAAUUAUUUAUGGAUCCCGUAUCUUUUCUACUACUGAAUCAAAUAAAUUUGUUAACAUCUUGGGUUAGGUUGAAUCACAUUCUGCUCGUGCCUCGGGCCACCUAAAUCCUUUGAUGUCAUAACCCCUUUGAAAAAAAGGGGGCACACAUUCGCUGUCGCUUUCAUCGUUAUUUUUUUUUUUUUUUUUUUUUUUCUUAACACGACGGCGCAAAAUAUUCGGCUAAUUGUGCACAAAAAAGGUCUCAUUUUCGAUUUUAUUAAAUUUUUUAUUGAAUACGUUGCAGAGGGGAGGGUCCUGAGUAGUAUUCACUUUGUUUGAACCGUAGGACGAUCGUGAUUCAAAAGUUAGGUUACCAACCUCCAACGAAUCAAACCUAACCUAACUAUAUCUUACCAAUAUUAGGAUCGUUAUUUUACGCAAAUGCAUAUGGAAUUUCAUUUGUAACUUAUAUUGCAGUAAAUGUAGUAUAACAAUUACAAUUUUCUUUUUGUCAUAAGUUUUGUUACCGUUCCACCAGAGUGUAUUUUCCUCAAGACUUGCUUGAAACCUAUUCUUUCUACGAUAUGGACUGAUCGUAUUUAUUUUUGUAACAAUAUCCUCCUAAAUAAUCAAUACUGACAAAAAGUGUAGAAUGCGGGUCGACUUAUUUUUGUCCUAGACUCGUCAGAAAGAAUUUUAUCAAAAUCGAUGACCCAACGACUGUGACCUCUCCUUGUAAGAUAUAUCAGAAUAUAUACAUAACAAUGCUAAACACAAUGUGAGUGAGCCCGCAGUGAACCGCACUGAAAUGUGAACAGAAUCCCAUUACAACGUUUCUUCCAGGAUUAAUAUCCUUUAAUAUCCUUCAUCAAUAUCUAUCUAUGCUGUUCUCAAUGUAUCAUCGAUGUCAUUAACCCUGCCCAUAUGUGAAUCGAAUAUAAUGAAUGUACAAAAUUGUUCAUAAUACGUUGAUUACUACUAUAUAUCAAUUUCCUGUUAUGUAUAGGUCUACAAUAAUGAUAUAUUAUAUUGUUAUCUUUAUCUUGGACAAGGCCGAUGCCAUUUGCGUAAAUAAAUGAUUAAGGUGACAGGUCACCGAACUUCCUGGUUUUCUCAAAAUACUCCGGCUGAAGGUAAAUUAUAGAUUUAAUUAAAUCAUUAGUUUGUACUGAUCCGCUCGAUGCCUAACAAUUCGUUAUAACCUUUAAAAUAGACAAAUGAUUUCUCUGCAUUUUAGCUACAUUAUACAGAAGAAAUGAAUUAAUGUAUUUCUUUUAAUUAGACGAAGUUAAUAUAGAUAAUGCAGUACGAUGACGUAAAAAUUUGAGCUUAAAUAAACGCGAACUUUCCAUCUGACUUGUAAAGCUUCAGCUUUGACUGAGCCGAUGCAAUAUUUUAGAAUUUUUAUCUUCUUAUUCUGUUCAACAAGAAACCCUCGAACGUUCCAAGAAAAAAUAUUCAGAAAAUUUUAGAAUUUUUAUCUUCUUAUUCUGUUCAACAAGAAACCCUCGAACGUUCCAAGAAAAAAUAUUCAGAAAAUUCAAAUGCUACUGUGAUAAGGAAAUUUCAAAUUUCUGAGCGAUAACGAUCGCAUUACAACGGAAAUGUGGCGAUCUAAUUGAUGUGUCUUAUGCAACAAACUUGGAACAUUUACAACGUGACGGGUACAGUUCAACAACGAUGCUCAUAAAAGCAAAGUAUCAUUGCAAAAGCACAAUAAAUGUGCUUAUAUCGUAUAACUGUAGGAAGGUAUGUUUACGAUUUUUUAACAAUCCUAAAAAACUGGAUGAAAAUGUUCCGAUAUUUCCUUUAACAAAAAUUUCUUAAUUAUUAUUUUCUAAGCAGUAACAAAUGUAUUAGGUUAUCGCAAAAGUUUCUUUCGUUUCGUAAAGGAAUAAUCGACGCAAUAAAAAUUUAGAUAUAGAUAAUAAUAUCCCCUUUAUUCGUCUUGAAAUAUCGUUGUUAUUUCUGUAUUCAGAGAUAGGACCAUAUUAGGUAUUAUUUUAUUUUUUGGAUAAAUCUAUC
Long non-coding RNA from Bombus terrestris (buff-tailed bumblebee), 3283 nucleotides. RefSeq lists it as uncharacterized. NCBI's taxonomy places the organism in Eukaryota, Metazoa, Arthropoda, Insecta, Hymenoptera, Apidae. The record is from RefSeq and is a predicted model, not a curated record. The transcript is spliced from 3 exons.